GCGGCUGUAGCUCAGUUGGAUAGAGCGGGGGCUUCCUAAGCCCUAGGUCGGGGGUUCGAAUCCUCCCAGCCGCACCA
This 77-nucleotide transfer RNA is filed under the name Acidobacteriota bacterium. RNAcentral's name for it is "tRNA-Arg". It matches the Rfam family "tRNA". Rfam says of the family: Transfer RNA (tRNA) molecules are approximately 80 nucleotides in length. Their secondary structure includes four short double-helical elements and three loops (D, anti-codon, and T loops). Further hydrogen bonds mediate the characteristic L-shaped molecular structure. tRNAs have two regions of fundamental functional importance: the anti-codon, which is responsible for specific mRNA codon recognition, and the 3' end, to which the tRNAs corresponding amino acid is attached (by aminoacyl-tRNA synthetases). tRNAs cope with the degeneracy of the genetic code in two manners: having more than one tRNA (with a specific anti-codon) for a particular amino acid; and 'wobble' base-pairing, i.e. permitting non-standard base-pairing at the 3rd anti-codon position. Lineage: Bacteria; Pseudomonadati; Acidobacteriota. The record is from RNAcentral.